RNAcentral lists this ribosomal RNA (330 nucleotides) under uncultured eukaryote. RNAcentral describes it as "partial 18S ribosomal RNA". It matches the Rfam family "Eukaryotic small subunit ribosomal RNA", at positions 1470 to 1796 of the family's 1831-position model. The record is from RNAcentral.
CCCUUAGAUGUUCUGGGCCGCACGCGCGCUACACUGAUGCAUUCAACGAGUCUAAAACCUGGUCUGAUAGGGCUGGGUAAUCUUUUGAAUGUGCAUCGUGAUUGGGAUAGAUGAUUGCAAUUCUUCAUCUUCAACGAGGAAUGCCUAGUAAACGCAAGUCAUCAGCUUGCAUUGAUUACGUCCCUGCCCUUUGUACACACCGCCCGUCGCUCCUACCGAUUGAAUGUUCCGAUGAAUACCAUGGACUGAGAGUAUGAAUGGGUUCGCCUAUUUCUGCUUCUCGGGAAGUGGAGUAAAUCUUAACAUUUAGAGGAAGGAGAGGUCGUAACA